AGUUUGAUCCUGGCUCAGAACGAACGCUGGCGGCGUGGAUUAGGCAUGCAAGUCGAACGCGAACGGGAGCGGAACAUUCCUUCGGGAUUGGGAUGCUCCCUAGUAGAGUGGCGAACGGGUGAGUAACGCGUGGGUAACCUGCCCUCGAGAUGGGGAUAACACCCCCAACGGGGUGCUAAUACCGAAUAAUAUCAUCUUUUCAAACGCUUAGAUGAUCAAAGGUGGCCUCUACUUGUAAGCUACCGCUUGAGGAUGGGCCCGCGUCUCAUUAGCUUGUUGGUGAGGUAACGGCUCACCAAGGCUGUGAUGGGUAGCUGUGUACUGAGAGGAUGUAAUGUCCAGCCACACUUUGGAUUGAGAUACGGCCCAGACUCCUUCGGGAGGCACAGCAGUCGAGAGUGCUUUCGGACAAUUGGGGAACACCCCUGACCCAAGCGACCGCCCGCGUGGGGUGAUAGAAGGAUUUUCGUUUCGUAAAGCCCUUUUCAUGGGAGAAGAAAAGCUACCGGGACAAAUACCCCGGGUGGUUUGGACGGUAUCCCAGGAGGAAGCUCCGGCAAACUCCGUGCCAGCAGCCGCGGUAAUACGGAGGGAGCAAGCGUUGUUCGGAUUUACUGGGCGUAAAGGGCGUGUAGGCGGCCUAUCAAGUCGGGUGUGAAAUCCUCUGGCUCAACCAGAGAACUGCACUCGAUACUGCUAGGCUUGAGUAUAGGAGAGGAAAGCGGAAUUCCUGGUGUAGCGGUGAAAUGCGUAGAUAUCAGGAAGAACACCAGUGGCGAAGGCGGCUUUCUGGCCUAUUACUGACGCUGAUGCGCGAAAGCCGGGGGAGCGAACAGGAUUAGAUACCCUGGUAGUCCCGGCCGUAAACGUCGGGCACUAGGUGUAGGGGGUAUCGACCCCCUCUGUGCCGAAGCUAACGCAUUAAGUGCCCCGCCUGGGGAGUACGACCGCAAGGUUGAAACUCAAAGGAAUUGACGGGGGCCCGCACAAGCGGUGGAGCAUGUGGUUCAAUUCGAUGCAACGCGAAGAACCUUACCCGGACUUGACAUGUACUUGACCGGUGUGGAAACACAUCUUCCCUUCGGGGCAGGUACACAGGUGCUGCAUGGCUGUCGUCAGCUCGUGCCGUGAGGUGUUGGGUUAAGUCCCGCAACGAGCGCAACCCUUGUCCUUAUUUGCCAUCAGUUCGGCUGGGCACUCUAAGGAGACUGCCGGUGAUAAACCGGAGGAAGGUGGGGAUGACGUCAAGUCCUCAUGGUCCUUACGUCCGGGGCUACACACGUGCUACAAUGGUCGGUACAGAGGGUAGCAAGGCCGCGAGGUGGAGCCAAUCCCAGAAAACCGGCCUCAGUUCGGAUCGGAGUCUGCAACUCGACUUCGUGAAGUUGGAAUCGCUAGUAAUCGCGGAUCAGCAGGCCGCGGUGAAUACGUUCCCGGGCCUUGUACACACCGCCCGUCAAGCCACGAAAGCCGGGAGUACCCGAAGUCGCUGUCGCAACCCCUCGGGGAGCAAGGUGCCGAAGGUAAGACUGGUAAUUGGGGCUAAGUCGUAACAAGGUAACC
RNAcentral lists this ribosomal RNA (1563 nucleotides) under bacterium enrichment culture clone 58. RNAcentral describes it as "bacterial SSU rRNA". It matches the Rfam family "Bacterial small subunit ribosomal RNA". The record is from RNAcentral.